Molecule: ribosomal RNA, 428 nt
Filed under: uncultured bacterium
Lineage: Bacteria
Description: partial 16S ribosomal RNA
Rfam family: Bacterial small subunit ribosomal RNA
Source: RNAcentral
CCUACGGGAGGCAGCAGUCGGGAAUUUUGGGCAAUGGGCGAAAGCCUGACCCAGCAACGCCGCGUGAAGGAUGAAAUCCCUCGGGAUGUAAACUUCGCAGAAAAGAGAGCGGUAUCAUUUGUAAGCUCCGGCUAACUCCGUGCCAGCAGCCGCGGUAAUACGGGGGGAGCAAGCGUUGUUCGGAUUUACUGGGCGUAAAGGGCGCGUAGGCGGUAGCACAAGUCAGUUGUGAAAUCUCCGAGCUUAACUCGGAAAGGUCAACUGAUACUGUGCGACUAGAGUGCAGAAGGGGCAACUGGAAUUCUUGGUGUAGCGGUGAAAUGCGUAGAUAUCAAGAGGAACACCUGCGGCGAAGGCGGGUUGCUGGGCUGAAUGACGCUGAAGCGCGAAAGCCAGGGGAGCGAACGGGAUUAGAUACCCUUGUAGUC